GUGAGUCAUCGAAUCUUUGAACGCAUCUUGCGCUCUCUGGUAUUCCGGAGAGCAUGUCUGUUUGAGUGUCGUGAAAUCUUCAACUCUAUCGUUUCUUGUUAAACGAUUGGAAGUUUGGAUCCUGAGUGUUUUUGCUCUUUUCCUUCUCGGAAGACAGCUCGCUCGUAAGACAUGAGUGUCGAACCCUUUAUGGCUCGGUCCGACUCGACGUAAUAGUUUAUUCGUUGAGGAAUCCUCUCUGCACGACAAGUGACGAGAGGAGCCGAACUUUUUGGAGUGGACGCUUCUAAAACCCAUUGUCAUUUCGAUGAUACUUUAGACCUCAAAUCAGGCAGGACUACCCGCUGAACUUAA
Molecule: ribosomal RNA, 354 nt
Filed under: uncultured fungus
Lineage: Eukaryota; Fungi
Description: eukaryotic LSU rRNA
Rfam family: 5.8S ribosomal RNA (bases 1-71)
Source: RNAcentral